GCCCUUAAUACCCAAUCCUGACACAGGGAGGUAGUGACAAGAAAUAACAAUACAGGGCAAUUGUCUUGUAAUUGGAAUGAUGGUGACGUAAAAUCUCACCAGAGUAACAAUUGGAGGGCAAGUCUGGUGCCAGCAGCCGCGGUAAUUCCAGCUCCAAUAGCGUAUAUUAAACUUGUUGCAGUUAAAAAGCUCGUAGUUGAAUUUCUGCGUUGCCCGACUCGGCUACUUGCCUUGUCUGGUUUCGCUUUUGGGGUUUUCCCCUUUUUACUUUGAGAAAAUUAGAGUGUUUCAAGCAGACUUGUGUCUUGAAUAUUUCAGCAUGGAAUAAUAAAGUAGGACUUUGGUUCUAUUUUGUUGGUUUGUGAACCUUAGUAAUGGUUAAUAGGAACGGUUGGGGGCAUUCGUAUUUA
This 410-nucleotide ribosomal RNA is filed under the name Babesia gibsoni. RNAcentral describes it as "SSU rRNA". It matches the Rfam family "Eukaryotic small subunit ribosomal RNA", at positions 432 to 900 of the family's 1831-position model. Lineage: Eukaryota; Apicomplexa; Aconoidasida; Piroplasmida; Babesiidae. The record is from RNAcentral.